Molecule: ribosomal RNA, 261 nt
Filed under: uncultured Desulfobacteraceae bacterium
Lineage: Bacteria; Pseudomonadati; Thermodesulfobacteriota; Desulfobacteria; Desulfobacterales; Desulfobacteraceae
Description: partial 16S ribosomal RNA
Rfam family: Bacterial small subunit ribosomal RNA
Source: RNAcentral
AAAACAAAUACGUAGGGAGCGAGCGUUGUCCGGAAUUACUGGGCGUAAAGGGCGCGUAGGCGGCCCGUUAAGUCAGGUGUGAAAUACCACGGCUCAACCAUGGACGUGCAUUUGAAACUGGCAGACUUGAGUAUUGGAGGGGGUGGUGGAAUUCCCGGUGUAGAGGUGAAAUUCGUAGAUAUCGGGAGGAAUACCAGUGGCGAAGGCGACCACCUGGCCAAAUACUGACGCUGAGGUGCGAAAGCGUGGGGAGCAAACAGG